ACGAAGGGGGCUAGCGUUGCUCGGAAUCACGGGGCGGAAAGCGCACGUAGGCGGAUUCCUAAGUCGGGGGUGAAAUCCUGGAGCUUAACUCCAGAACUGCCUUCGAUACUGGGAAUCUUGAGUCCGGAAGAGGUGAGUGGAACUGCGAGUGUAGAGGUGAAAUUCGUAGAUAUUCGCAAGAACACCAGUGGCGAAGGCGGCUCACUGGUCCGGUACUGACGCUGAGGUGCGAAAGCGUGGGGAGCAAACAGG
This 252-nucleotide ribosomal RNA is filed under the name uncultured bacterium. Its description in RNAcentral is "partial 16S ribosomal RNA". It matches the Rfam family "Bacterial small subunit ribosomal RNA", at positions 525 to 776 of the family's 1533-position model. The record is from RNAcentral.